This 686-nucleotide unclassified non-coding RNA is filed under the name Hevea brasiliensis (rubber tree). Lineage: Eukaryota; Viridiplantae; Streptophyta; Magnoliopsida; Malpighiales; Euphorbiaceae. The record is from RNAcentral.
CUAAAUUGCAUCAAGAAGCAUUCAGUCAUCCACUUUAGAUGUAGAACAGAAAUAGAGAUAGCUUGAAAGACUUCUUGUUUAUUGUACAGAACAGCAUGGAAAAUGGAGAAAAAAUAUCCCAUUUUCUAGCUGUAGUAUGAAAAACUUAAGAGCAGUUCCUCCAGAGAUUUUUGCUACAUCUAAAGAUUUUUAUACAACCCUAGCCCAGUACAUCACAUAUAUAGGGAUAUUUACAUGAACACAAAUCCAGAAAACCAAGUAAAACAAGAGGCAUCUGUUUGCAGUGUCACAAAAACAAAAUUAGUCACACUAGACCUUCCCUAAGUCCUUCAAAAACCGAAACUUGCCCCUCUACUUCCUUGUAUCGGUCAGUUAGCUGCUAACAUUGUUUGCAAUGAAGCUAGUGAUUAAAUUGAUCCAUUCAGGAUCGCAGUGAGUGAUGCAACCACAUACAGAUGAGUUGAACUUGACCUUGCUCUUAUGGUCUGCAUGCCACCACUUCAAGAUCUCUCAUGAAAGUUGAUGGAACGAGACAAGGCAGCAGGGUUUGCGCGCAAUAUCGGAGAGGUUUCAGCAACAUGCUUCUUUUCAUCACUCUUUGGUUGGAAGGCCUUGAACAGUCUUCCCCCAGUAAGGGUUUCAUUCUUUAUUCCAAGCGUUGCCCAUAUAGAACUUUUUGCAGCUUC